UCCCCGCUGGGCACAGCAGCCCGGGCCCUCCACGCCAUGGCCGCUGGCCUGAGGUGGCCCUCCUUCAGCUCCCGCUCUUCCUGCUCCGCCGGACACGGACGACCAGGGCGCCUGCGAAGAUGAUGCCAUCUGGGAGAGAUAAAGACAGCAGCUCAGCGAGAUUAACUGCUGUGCCCAAGGAUGUGUAGGGAGUGGCAGAGCCAGAUUGAAACCCAAAGCUGCCUGACUCUGGGGCACACAGCAGGAUCAGUUUCCAUUCAUUGGAGCAAAGGAUCUACUGUGAUGCCAGGGUCUCCAUCAGGUGGCCUGUGGUUGUCCUCCUUGCAGCUUUUGUUAUAAGACCCUGCGGUCAGCUCGCCAGCACACCCCGGCAGAGCCCCGAGUCCGUGCGUGCGGAGAAUACGGAAGCCCAGAGCAUCACCCUCCUCACAGCCUCAGCACGCGCUCUGAAUCCUCAUAUCAUCAAUAACAUUGAUACCAACUAAUUUAAACCCACUGAACCAGUGAACUGGGGCUGCAGAUGUGUUUAUGAGCAGGAUACUAAGUAGCUAUUUUAACUAAGUGGAACAUUUCUUGCUUCAAUUAAUGAAAAGGUAGCAACUCUGAGGAAAUAUUAGGGGCAUUAAGUUUUAUAUUGGCGCCAUUUAUUAUAUAUGAUUUUUAACACUUUUAAUCACUUUAUCCAUGUUGACAGCUACUGAGAGAAAAAGAGCUUUCCACGGUGAGUGUGACCCAGGAAUUACUGUCAAGCUGAGACAGAUGAUCAUUGACCCCUGAGUUGCCUUGGUCUUUUGAGGAAAUAGUGAGGAUUUUAUUAGUUUUAUUAAUGGCACUCAGGGAGAUCAAGUUAUUGAUUAGCAAAGAAUGAGUCCUUAACACGCACAUUUCUUGGAAAGGGUAAACGAAGUAGAAGGGAAUUAACAUUUAUUCAGCACCUACUGUGUGCCAGGUGUGUGCUGGGCUAUCUACAUACUGAAUUAAAUCUCCAAGCAGUCCUGUGAGGCUGGCUACAGCGAUGUCCGUUACACAGAGGAGGAAAUGGAAAGACUGAGAUACUUGCUCAUUCAGUAAAACUUUUGCGCCCUGCUAGUUCACGACGGGGCUUAGAUCGUGAAUACUAUAGUACACUCCCUGCCCUCAGGAAGCUUCUAUUCUGGUGGGGGAACUAGAUAUUUAUGAUUAUUUUUGAUGAUUAUAAUAGUGAAACAAGUGCUGGGACAAGCAGAGAAUGGAGGUUCUCUGGGAACCUGGAAAAGGCAAACUUCAUUUAGACCUUAGGGUGAGAAGUUAAGGAG
Long non-coding RNA from Equus caballus (horse), 1295 nucleotides. The record is from Ensembl. Lineage: Eukaryota; Metazoa; Chordata; Mammalia; Perissodactyla; Equidae.